UGCCCGGUUGUGUAACAGGUAGCACUCGGGACUUUGGAUCCCGCUGUCCAGGUUCGAAUCCUGGCCGGGCAG
This 72-nucleotide transfer RNA is filed under the name bacterium. RNAcentral's name for it is "tRNA-Gln". It matches the Rfam family "tRNA". From Rfam's summary of the family: Transfer RNA (tRNA) molecules are approximately 80 nucleotides in length. The record is from RNAcentral.